AUACGGAGGGUGCGAGCGUUACUCUGAGUCACUGGGCGUAAAGCGUCCGUAGGCGGUCGGGUAAGUCGGGUGUGAAAGCCCCGGGCUCAACCUGGGAAGUGCACCCGAUACUGCUCGACUCGAGUGCGGGAGAGGAUGGCGGAAUUCCCGGUGUAGCGGUGAAAUGCGUAGAGAUCGGGAGGAACACCAGUGGCGAAGGCGGCCAUCUGGCCCGAAACUGACGCUGAGGGACGAAAGCGUGGGGAGCAAACAGGAUUAGAAACCCCAGUAGUCC
RNAcentral lists this ribosomal RNA (274 nucleotides) under uncultured bacterium. RNAcentral describes it as "partial 16S ribosomal RNA". It matches the Rfam family "Bacterial small subunit ribosomal RNA", at positions 523 to 796 of the family's 1533-position model. The record is from RNAcentral.